RNAcentral lists this ribosomal RNA (429 nucleotides) under uncultured bacterium. RNAcentral describes it as "bacterial SSU rRNA". It matches the Rfam family "Bacterial small subunit ribosomal RNA", at positions 355 to 776 of the family's 1533-position model. The record is from RNAcentral.
UAGGGAAUUUUCCACAAUGGGCGAAAGCCUGAUGGAGCAACGCCGCGUGAACGAGGAAGGCCUUCGGGUUGUAAAGUUCUGUUGUCAGGGACGAAUAAGUACCGUUCGAACAGGGCGGUACCUUGACGGUACCUGACGAGGAAGCCACGGCUAACUACGUGCCAGCAGCCGCGGUAAUACGUAGGUGGCAAGCGUUGUCCGGAAUUAUUGGGCGUAAAGCGCGCGCAGGCGGCCGGGUAAGUCUGAUGUGAAAGCCCGGGGCUCAACCCCGGUGUGCAUUGGAAACUGUCCGGCUUGAGUGCAGGAGAGGAAAGCGGUAUUCCACGUGUAGCGGUGAAAUGCGUAGAGAUGUGGAGGAACACCAGUGGCGAAGGCGGCUUUCUGGCCUGUAACUGACGCUGAGGCGCGAAAGCGUGGGGAGCAAACAGG